Lotus japonicus is the source of this 1155-nucleotide long non-coding RNA. RefSeq lists it as uncharacterized. The record is from RefSeq and is a predicted model, not a curated record. Lineage: Eukaryota; Viridiplantae; Streptophyta; Magnoliopsida; Fabales; Fabaceae. The transcript is spliced from 2 exons.
AAUUGUUCCUUUCUUUUUUCUUCUUUGAUUAUCUUCAAUUUUGGAAUUUGAUUUGGGAUUUUGUGUGAUCAUUAAAAUUUAGUUUGGAUCAAGUACAAUGACUUUAAUUUCAAAUGAUCCAUAUGAAGUGUGAUAAUAGUUUUGUUGUUGUUGUUGUUGUUCAUGUGUGGUCUAACAAUAAAAUCUGUCUACCUCACAAGCUGUUGCUGGACUUGCUUAUAAGCUGAAGGAUUUGGUAGUGAACAUUGAUUCAACUGACAUGGACAAUGAAUUGGCUGCAACUGAGUACAUUGAUGAUAUCUAUAACUUUUACAAACUCACUAAAGUGAUGGCCUGGACUUUGUGUUUUUAUGUAGCAACAGAUGGUUAUAUAUAUGUGCUAAUUACUGGUGACUGCUGUGCUUGUGUCUUCAGACCAAAGAGCUACAAAUAUUUUUGCUUUCCACUUUAGCCUACAAGUUUUGACUUGGUUGUACAUUUUGCUGCUGCUGCUGCUUGCUGCUUCAUCCGAAUUGGUUGAAGAGUUUCUCUAUACAGAAAAAACCUUUCACUUAAAGAGAUAUAAAUUGUCUCUAACAAGGUGACACUCACUGCUUUCAUUCACCCUAUGCGGGGAAUAUUCAUGAAGUGCAUUUCUUGGAAUAUUCAUGAAGUGUUGUGCUAGUCUCAACUGAACAGCGACAAGGUCUGCAAUCGGUGUGGCUUGCCGCUGUGGAACAUAAGGAAUAUGAUCAUCUUCAAGGAAGGGCAUUUGGAUGGGGAACGAGUUGUGGAGAUAGCACUGUUAAGGGCAUGGAACUGGUUAAGAGCGAAGAAGAAGGAUUUCAAAUUUUCCACAUAUGAAUGGGUAGUCAAUCCAAGGUACUCUGAUGAAUUUUCCAUUGGAAGCUUGUAAAUGUUAUCUGACUCUACUUUCCUAGAGUUCUUUCUCACGUUGCUUACUGUUUUCAAGUCUGUGGGCCUCCAUAGAGUUCAAUCCUUGGUGGUAUAUUGCUUACGAGUAGUACUGCUUCUUCUAAGAUAGGUAGAUGCUGUAUAUAUAUUCUGCCUGGGUGCUUGAGUACAGAGUUUAGUUUUGAGCAGGUUUUGGAGGAACAUGUUUCUGGUUAAUCUGCUCUGUUUUUUCUGGUUUUUUUUUUUUUUUUUUUUUUUUUU